GGAUUAGAUACCCUGGUAGUCCACGCCGUAAACGAUGGUCACUAGCUGUUCGGAUUUCGAUCUGAGUGGCUAAGCGAAAGUGAUAAGUGACCCACCUGGGGAGUACGUUCGCAAGAAUGAAACUCAAAGGAAUUGACGGGGGCCCGCACAAGCGGUGGAGCAUGUGGUUUAAUUCGAUGAUACGCGAGGAACCUUACCAGGGCUUAAAUGUGGUUUGACAGCUUUAGAGAUAGAGUUUUCUUCGGACAAAUCACAAGGUGCUGCAUGGUUGUCGUCAGCUCGUGCCG
RNAcentral lists this ribosomal RNA (287 nucleotides) under uncultured bacterium. Its description in RNAcentral is "partial 16S ribosomal RNA". It matches the Rfam family "Bacterial small subunit ribosomal RNA", at positions 775 to 1067 of the family's 1533-position model. The record is from RNAcentral.